Long non-coding RNA from Cynoglossus semilaevis (tongue sole), 515 nucleotides. RefSeq lists it as uncharacterized. Lineage: Eukaryota; Metazoa; Chordata; Actinopteri; Pleuronectiformes; Cynoglossidae. The transcript is spliced from 3 exons. The record is from RefSeq and is a predicted model, not a curated record.
GUUUAAUCCAAUUUGUCUUUGAUCCAUUUCUUUUGAGCUUUGUGCAGAUCAAAGUCAGAUGACAUUGCCUUCUACUGGCAAAUGUGUGAGUACUUAGUACUAGUCUAAAAUGUUUUUCAGGCUGUUAUAUUCUGCUUCUACUCAAAACCAACUAUCUUUUUAGAUGAAGAUGUGAUUCCCCAUUUUUUAAGACAGUUGGCAACAAUAAUAUUGCAGCAUGGCCUCUUCAUUGAUUCCAGCCUUUGAGCAAAUAUGCCCCAAUCUACAGCUAAGUCUCAAGCUAACAAGGAUAAAAGUAUGACAACUACCAGAGUUUCCCCACCUCCUUCCCAGGAGCCAGAGGAAAUGGUUCGUCGUCGGUUGUUACGGUGCCAUUGGAUGAACAUGUUGAACCAAGAGGAAGCAAAUGAGAAAGUAGGGGCGAUUGUGAAUGAGCUGGUUAGCAGGGUCAUGGACGGCUGUUUAAAAGUCUUCAUUCAGUCACAGCUUGCACCACAUUCUGCAUCUUGGGCGAA